Molecule: ribosomal RNA, 470 nt
Filed under: Clostridioides difficile
Lineage: Bacteria; Bacillati; Bacillota; Clostridia; Peptostreptococcales; Peptostreptococcaceae
Description: bacterial LSU rRNA
Rfam family: Bacterial large subunit ribosomal RNA
Source: RNAcentral
AGCUCGGGGAUGACUUGUGGGUAGCGGUGAAAUUCCAAUCGAGCCCGGAGAUAGCUGGUUCUCCCCGAAAUAGCUUUAGGGCUAGCCUCAAGGUGAGAGAUACGGAGGUAGAGCACUGAAUGUCCUAGGGGGUAUUGCACCUACCGAAGACUAUCAAACUCCGAAUGCCGUCAUCUUAUACUUGGGAGUCAGACUGUGGGUGAUAAGAUUCAUAGUCAAAAGGGCAACAGCCAGAUCGUCAGCUAAGGUCCCUAAAUGUAAGUUAAGUGGUAAAGGAUGUGGGAUUGCACAGACAACCAGGAUGUUGGCUUAGAAGCAGCCACUCAUUCAAAGAGUGCGUAAUAGCUCACUGGUCGAGUGAUCCUGCGCCGAAGAUUUCCGGGGCUAAAACUUACUACCGAAGCUACGGCAUCAUUAUGAUGGGUAGGGGAGCUUCCCAUACGGGUUGAAGCAUGACCGUAAGGACAUGU